This is a long non-coding RNA of Gossypium arboreum, 1447 nucleotides long. RefSeq lists it as uncharacterized. The record is from RefSeq and is a predicted model, not a curated record. The transcript has 3 exons. NCBI's taxonomy places the organism in Eukaryota, Viridiplantae, Streptophyta, Magnoliopsida, Malvales, Malvaceae.
GUAUGAGGAUAUUUUUCACUCUCUUUAUUUCUACCAUCUUCAACUUACUUUCAAAAUUUAAAUAUGUUUUUUUUUUUAGAUUUAAACAUCUAACACCCUGUUUGAUUUAAUAUAAUAGCAUAGCCAUUACAAUUCAAUUCCAUAUGCCCACCAUAAAUCCUUGUUUGGUUGAAUGAAAGGUCUAUUACGAUGUUGCUGUUUAGUUUUCUAUUCUCACUAACCACUCAAUAAUGGCUGAAUUCAGCCUUUUUUUGCCUCACCCUCUUAAUUGCCAUUCAGAGCACGGUAGGAAUGCUGAAAGAUUAUUUUUUUUCAUUUUUGCCCUCAUUGUUUCGUCAUCAUCUCCUUUCUGCAGUUUCAACUACAGCCUCAAUGUUCACUAUUCUCUCCAUUUACAAAGCCCUAAACACCACCAUUGUCCCUCACCAACUGUCUGCAAUUCUUUUACUUUGUUUUUCAUUUUCUUCGUUCCUAAAGUUUAGUUUAGACCAAACAGCUUACAUUCCCAAAUCCGAGCUAGGGCCUGAAAACCUUGAAAAGGUUAGAAAAAGAAAAUCAAAUAAAUCAAAAGCCCUCUGGCCUCAGUACCGCCGAAACCUGUUAAUAGCCUGCUUCCCCUAAAUAUUUAGACCGUGGAACAACAAAGAUAAUUCAUUAGCUUAAUCAAAUUGGGUAUUUCUUAUGUCAACCUAAAAUGAAGGUAAAAGUUGUGUGCAGGUAGCUGUAUGACUACGUCUGAUACGAUCUCAAAAAAUAGUUUUCCUUUCUUCAUUGCCUGGUCCUCCCCACAUAAAAAAGCGCCGCAAAUUGACUUGGCACGAGCGCUACUUGAUAUGAUUUAAUAGCGAUUGCUGCAAGAGGAGGGAUGGAGACUUUGAGGCCUGCUUUACAGAGGUUCAGGGAUGACAAGGGCUUCUGCAUAUAGAGAUGCUCUUGAGAGUUUCAUAGAAGGAUAUCAAGAAGGUAUCCAGCAGAUCAGGGAGAAAAAGGAAUAUUCUUCUAAUGCACAGCAAGAAGGCAAUACUGAUAAAAAUUCAACUUGAUGGCUGAUCAGUGCAUAAUCGGAGAUGCAUGUGAGUACUUCUCCAGUAUACCUAUUGUAGAUACAAGUUUAGAGAUUUAGUGGAGCUGGGUUGGCAUGAAAUCACAAGAAUGGUACACGUCCUAAGCAUUUUCCUGUAUUGAGAAAGUGACCUUUAGAAACUACAAAUAUAAUGGGAAUCUCCAUUGACAGUGGUGAUGCACUUUCCUUGUCAUUUCAUGUUUAUUAGUUUUUGUUGUAGUCUAGUAUUCAACGUGCUUGAGCAUGGGGAAAUGUAAAAGAACCUUAAUGCUUUAUGUCUUUGUUUAGUGCAACUGAAGAAUUACUUAGAUAUCUGCUGCCAGCUGCCAGCUGCUUAAUGGAGGCAGUUUGCAUAUAAUACAUGAUUUGCGCUUUUGCAUUAAA